ACAGUAUUUUUAUAUCACGGGUUAUCAACAUCAUUUUUAAAGUUGCUUCGUUCCCCACUUUUGACAGUCUCUUUAUAAAUAUCUUAUCGUCAUUCACCUAUGUUUGCCUUGGAUUUACGAUUCUGUUUUCCAAAAAAUGUUCAAAGGAAAAUUGUACAGUGUUAUUGCACAUAAGGUGUUGUAUAAUUAUGAACAAUCUCGUCAAUUUCGUUAGAUUUGUCUGUACGGAUUAUAAAUGAUAUCUUGAACGUCCGAAAAAAUAUACUUAUGUGAAACGGAAUGAAAUAUUUGCCACUUGAUAUUUAGCCACCAACAAAAUCAACCAACCGACAUAAUAUACUAACAGUAUACUUUUCCUAGAAGAGAACUUCUCAUACUUUUCAUUAUAAAGUACAAAUGAAAUCUGUCAUGUCAGUCACACUGUUGGAUGAUGAGGUGGAAUAGUUUUAUUAUACAAACCAUCCUGAACUACUGAGUUUAAAUCAUCACACCUCAGCAAGCACGACUAAUUUAUGCGCAGACCAACCCAUCACACAAUAGCCCAAAAGGAAUCUGUGAUGUACCCGUCCAUAUUCAGAAGUCAUGGAAGUGGGAAAUACAGAUACUGAUACUGACUUUAGUGACAGUUUUAUAUAACAAAUACAGAGAUGAAAUGCUGGCACUCUAAAUUAAAGCGGACAAGAUUUUGUUAUCAUUGUAUUGCAAUGUUGCUGUCAUUUGUAUUAUACAAUCCAUCCUGACAUCAAAAUAUUGCUGAUUUACUAUGCGGCUGCCGCUAUAUAGAUUUACAUAAUAAAGUGCAAAUAUGGUCA
Mytilus californianus (California mussel) is the source of this 812-nucleotide long non-coding RNA. RefSeq lists it as uncharacterized. The transcript is spliced from 2 exons. NCBI's taxonomy places the organism in Eukaryota, Metazoa, Mollusca, Bivalvia, Mytilida, Mytilidae. The record is from RefSeq and is a predicted model, not a curated record.